This 467-nucleotide ribosomal RNA is filed under the name uncultured bacterium. Its description in RNAcentral is "partial 16S ribosomal RNA". It matches the Rfam family "Bacterial small subunit ribosomal RNA", at positions 29 to 507 of the family's 1533-position model. The record is from RNAcentral.
ACGAACGCUGGCGGCGUGCUUAACACAUGCAAGUCGCACGGAAAGGCCCUGCUUUUGUGGGGUGCUCGCGUGGCGAACGGGUGAGUAACACGUGAGUAACCUGCCCUUGACUUUGGGAUAACUUCAGGAAACUGGGGCUAAUACCGGAUAGGAGCUCCUGCUGCAUGGUGGGGGUUGGAAAGUUUCGGCGGUUGGGGAUGGACUCGCGGCUUAUCAGCUUGUUGGUGGGGUAGUGGCUUACCAAGGCUUUGACGGGUAGCCGGCCUGAGAGGGUGACCGGCCACAUUGGGACUGAGAUACGGCCCAGACUCCUACGGGAGGCAGCAGUGGGGAAUAUUGCACAAUGGGCGGAAGCCUGAUGCGGCAACGCCGCGUGCGGGAUGACGGCCUUCGGGUUGUAAACCGCUUUCGCCUGUGACGAAGCGUGAGUGACGGUAAUGGGUAAAGAAGCACCGGCUAACUACGUG